GGACGAACGCUGGGCGGCGUGCCUAACACAUGCAAGUCGAGCGGGGAUAUGGAGGAGCUUGCUCCGAAGUAUUCUAGCGGCGGACGGGUGAGUAACGCGUGAGCAACCUGCCUCAAACAGGGGGAUAACGCAUCGAAAGAUGUGCUAAUACCGCGUAAGACCACAGUGCCACAUGGCACAGGGGUCAAAGGAGCAAUCCGCUUUGAGAUGGCCUCGCGUCCGAUUAGCUGGUUGGUGAGGUAACGGCCCACCAAGGCGACGAUCGGUAGCCGGACUGAGAGGUUGAACGGCCACAUUGGGACUGAGACACGGCCCAGACUCCUACGGGAGGCAGCAGUGGGGAAUAUUGCACAAUGGGGGAAACCCUGAUGCAGCGACGCCGCGUGGAGGAAGAAGGUCUUCGGAUUGUAAACUCCUGUUGUUGGGGAAGAUAAUGACGGUACCCAACAAGGAAGUGACGGCUAACUACGUG
This 472-nucleotide ribosomal RNA is filed under the name uncultured bacterium. RNAcentral's name for it is "bacterial SSU rRNA". It matches the Rfam family "Bacterial small subunit ribosomal RNA", at positions 27 to 507 of the family's 1533-position model. The record is from RNAcentral.